CCUACGGGUGGCAGCAGUGAGGAAUAUUGGUCAAUGGACGAGAGUCUGAACCAGCCAAGUAGCGUGAAGGAUGACUGCCCUAUGGGUUGUAAACUUCUUUUAUAAAGGAAUAAAACGAGGCACGUGUGCCUUUUUGCAUGUACUUUAUGAAUAAGGCUCGGCUAACUCCGUGCCAGCAGCCGCGGUAAUACGGAGGAACCGAGCGUUAUUCGGAUUUAUUGGGAUUAAAGGGCGCGUAGAUGGGUGGUUAAGUCAGUGGUGUAAGUUUGCGGGGCAAAAGUAAAAUUGCAAGUGAUACUGGCAGUCUUGAGUACAGUUGAGGUAGGCGGAAUGCGUGGUGUAGCGGUGAAAUGCUUAGAUAUCACGAAGGACCCCGAUUGCGAAGGCAGCUUACUAAACUGUGACUGACAUUGAUGCUCGAAAGGGUGGGUAUCAAACAGGAAUAGAUACCCCUGUAGUC
RNAcentral lists this ribosomal RNA (460 nucleotides) under uncultured bacterium. RNAcentral describes it as "partial 16S ribosomal RNA". It matches the Rfam family "Bacterial small subunit ribosomal RNA", at positions 338 to 795 of the family's 1533-position model. The record is from RNAcentral.